This 708-nucleotide ribosomal RNA is filed under the name uncultured bacterium. Its description in RNAcentral is "bacterial SSU rRNA". It matches the Rfam family "Bacterial small subunit ribosomal RNA", at positions 104 to 810 of the family's 1533-position model. The record is from RNAcentral.
GGGUGAGUAACGCGUAUCCAACCUGCCCGUCACCACGGGAUAGCCUGCCGAAAGGCAGAUUAAUACCGUAUGUGGUCCGAAGACGGCAUCAGAUUCGGACUAAAGGUUCAGCGGUGACGGAUGGGGAUGCGUCCGAUUAGGUAGUAGGCGGGGUAACGGCCCACCUAGCCAUCGAUCGGUAGGGGUUCUGAGAGGAAGGUCCCCCACACUGGAACUGAGACACGGUCCAGACUCCUACGGGAGGCAGCAGUGAGGAAUAUUGGUCAAUGGAGGCAACUCUGAACCAGCCAAGUAGCGUGCAGGAUGACGGCCCUAUGGGUUGUAAACUGCUUUUAUGCGGGGAUAAACUGAGCCACGUGUGGCUUAUUGCAGGUACCGCAUGAAUAAGGACCGGCUAAUUCCGUGCCAGCAGCCGCGGUAAUACGGAAGGUCCGGGCGUUAUCCGGAUUUAUUGGGUUUAAAGGGAGCGCAGGCCGCCCCUUAAGCGUGUUGUGAAAUGCCGCGGCUCAACCGUGGCACUGCAGCGCGAACUGGGGGGCUUGAGUGCGCCGGAGGUAGGCGGAAUUCGUGGUGUAGCGGUGAAAUGCUUAGAUAUCACGAAAAACUCCGAUUGCGAAGGCAGCCUACCGUAGCGUUACUGACGCUGAGGCUCGAAGGUGCGGGUAUCGAACAGGAUUAGAUACCCUGGUAGUCCGCACGGUAAACGAU